UAGCUGCGAUAAGUGGUGUGAAUUGCAGAAUUCUGUGAAACACUAAAUUCUUGAACGCAACCUGCACCUGCGAGCAAUCGCAGGUACGCCUAAUUGAGUGCGGCAUAUCCUUCUCUCGACUCAGCCUCUGUGCUUGUCGAGGUAUUGGGGUUCGAUCUGGUGUGCAUUAGCUCACUCGAUUGGUUCUCUUAAAUAUGUAUGACAAUACCAAUUCUGGUUGGUGAAUCGCCUUGUCUGUUGAUUGAUGUUGGUUUUUUGCGGUGGCAGAGGCUCAACUGGCUUGGUUUGUUCCCUUCCUGUUGGAUUUUGUCCACCCGGUUAAAUUUUUUUAACUAUACAUAAAGCUGCCUCAGUUUAGGUGAGACAACCCCCUGAACUUAA
This 381-nucleotide unclassified non-coding RNA is filed under the name uncultured fungus. Its description in RNAcentral is "sequence contains ITS1". The stretch from base 1 to 103 matches the Rfam family "5.8S ribosomal RNA", at positions 50 to 154 of the family's 154-position model. The record is from RNAcentral. Lineage: Eukaryota; Fungi.